UCCCCAGUGGCUCAGUGGUAGAGAAUCUGCCUGCAAUGCAGGAGACACAGGCUCAAUCCCUGGGGUG
Molecule: transfer RNA, 67 nt
Filed under: Bos taurus (domestic cattle)
Lineage: Eukaryota; Metazoa; Chordata; Mammalia; Artiodactyla; Bovidae
Also listed under: 5 other names
Rfam family: tRNA
About the family: Transfer RNA (tRNA) molecules are approximately 80 nucleotides in length.
Source: Rfam by way of RNAcentral